RNAcentral lists this ribosomal RNA (449 nucleotides) under uncultured bacterium. RNAcentral's name for it is "partial 16S ribosomal RNA". It matches the Rfam family "Bacterial small subunit ribosomal RNA", at positions 29 to 523 of the family's 1533-position model. The record is from RNAcentral.
AGCGAACGCUGGCGGCAGGCUUAACACAUGCAAGUCGAACGCCAUCUUCGGAUGGAGUGGCAGACGGGUGAGUAACGCGUGGGAACGUACCUUUUGGUUCGGAAUAUUCUCGGGAAACUGAGAGCAAUACCGAAUAAGCCCUUAGGGGGAAAGAUUUAUUGCCAAAAGAUCGGCCCGCGUUAGAUUAGGUAGUUGGUAGGGUAAUGGCCUACCAAGCCUACGAUCUAUAGCUGGUCUGAGAGGAUGAUCGGCCACAUUGGGACUGAGACACGGCCCAAACUCCUACGGGAGGCAGCAGUGGGGAAUAUUGGACAAUGGGCGCAAGCCUGAUCCAGCCAUGCCGCGUGAAUGAUGAAGGCCUUAGGGUUGUAAAAUUCUUUCAACGGGGACGAUGAUGACGGUACCCGUAGAAGAAGCCCCGGCUAACUUCGUGCCAGCCGCCGCGGUAA